This 282-nucleotide long non-coding RNA is filed under the name Homo sapiens (human). RNAcentral's name for it is "HSALNT0397848". The record is from RNAcentral. Lineage: Eukaryota; Metazoa; Chordata; Mammalia; Primates; Hominidae.
AGUGCGUCCCCUCUCCGCGGGAUCGUCGCCAUGGUCCUGCGAUCCUAGGAGUCGGGCAAGGCCGAACCUGCCUGAAGAAACCUCAAGCGGAGAUUCAAGGAAGCACCACGUGAUCCCUAAGGAUCCCAAAGAUGCGUCGGGCAUGCAUGGGCGGUGUGAGGGUGCGUCUCCCUGACAGGUGUCCCCGCUGGGAUUUCGAGAAAGAAGACCAGCACACGACAACCAAGAACAAAUUCCUCCAGGGGCCCAUGGUCCUGCGGCACACCCAAGGCUGGACGGACC